This 500-nucleotide ribosomal RNA is filed under the name uncultured bacterium. Its description in RNAcentral is "partial 16S ribosomal RNA". It matches the Rfam family "Bacterial small subunit ribosomal RNA", at positions 29 to 523 of the family's 1533-position model. The record is from RNAcentral.
AUUGAACGCUGGCGGCAUGCCUUACACAUGCAAGUCGAACGGCAGCACGGGAGCAAUCCUGGUGGCGAGUGGCGAACGGGUGAGUAAAGUAUCGGAACGUGCCCAGUCGUGGGGGAUAACGUAGCGAAAGUUACGCUAAUACCGCAUACGAUCUAUGGAUGAAAGCGGGGGAUCGCAAGACCUCGCGCGAUUGGAGCGGCCGAUAUCAGAUUAGGUAGUUGGUGGGGUAAAGGCGCACCAAGCCGACGAUCUGUAGCUGGUCUGAGAGGACGACCAGCCACACUGGGACUGAGACACGGCCCAGACUCCGACGGGAGGCAGCAGUGGGGAAUUUUGGACAAUGGGCGAAAGCCUGAUCCAGCCAUGCCGCGUGCAGGAUGAAGGCCUUCGGGUUGUAAACUGCUUUUGUACGGAACGAAAAGGUUUGGCCUAAUAAGCUGAGCUCAUGACGGAACCGUAAGAAUAAGCACCGGCUAACUACGUGCCAGCCGCCGCGGUAA